CAAUUCCAAUACUAGCUCCCUUCCCCCUCACUGUUGGUCAGCCUUCCACUAUGCCCCACCCACCUGCCUCCUCUCUCCAAAAGUUUCAAGUGCCAGGCACAGUUAACAAAAGCAAUGGAAUGUGGAUUUUUCCCUGUCACGGCUUCUAGUGAAAGCAGCGAUGCAAAAGAAGCUUAGACUCUCUGUGAAGCUCGCUGGAGACUUGUCUUUCAGCUUACUUGUCAUGCCUUGCUUAAUUAUUCAUGUAUGAGUCCAAGAGAGAGAAAGGGGGCUUGACUUCCCACUCUUAGUCCUAGGAUCAAGAGACAGUGGAACACAAUCCAUUGGAACAGCACAAGGUAAUACCUCACUACCUUAGCCAAGGCUAAGAGACUGACAGCAGGCCUGCAGCCGCAUGUGCAGGAACAGACCCCAAAAAACCUCCCUGCUCCUGCAAAUCCUCAUAUUGUUUCCCUUGUCAAUAUCAAUCAUGCAGCUUCAUUUAGUACUAAAGCUAGGUGUGGUUAAGGCCAACAAGGGAAGGGAUGGAACAAAUUUGCACAGGAAAGGGUAAGAGAACACACUAUGUGAGUUUCGUAGGCCACUACAAUUAUAUUGCAUUUGGUCUUUUCCAUAGAGACAACUUGACUACUUCCUUCCCAACCACACCAAGCAUCCUCUUUGCUUAAGUCUAGAGUCCAUGGAUGUGGAUGUUAUCCACAAAGAUUUCUGCUCAUAUUUACUUUUUCUGCAGAUUAUUAAAAGAAGAAUAGUUCAUAUAGAAUUUUAGUGUCAUAGGCAAUUGGUAAACCACCAGUGAAAUCUAAAAUCGAACAAGGAAAUAUAUCCAUGGCUCUUUAGGCAUUCAAAAAUGCGUUUAUUGUUCCAAUGGUUUCAUGUAAUGGAAGCAAUGCUGGAGAUAUGUAUGCUACUGAUUCAAUAUAUCAAAAUAGUUUAAAUAUUCUAGUAAAAUUAAUCUCCAAGCAAAGCACUGAAUAUAAUGUUCUGGUAUUUCUACUGCAUUUUACUGAGUUUUUGACAUUUAAGUUUAGCAAUUUUGACUACUGCAAAGAUAAUUAUUUAUGCCUUUCAUAAUAACUAUUCAGCAUAUUUUAAAAAAAAUGUACAAAAGUGAAACACAUUUCAAAUCCGCAUGGAUUUCUGUGUUAGAAGGGCAGAACACUCACAUCGCUGCUAUAUAGAAUAAAUAAUUAUGUACAUGCAUAUAUUCUCACAUGUGAAUGCAUUACAAUUGAACAUAAACUGUUUACUGAGAAUCCACAGAAAACACAUCAAGGAAACUAAGAUUUCAAAUUAUGAUAAGCUAGAAUGUGACUAUUAGGAAACCAUAGGAAACAGGAGAAAUGUUUAAUAAAGUAUAAAAAAGCAUUUUACUUCUGCUCUUACCGACUCACUAGCCACAAUGCAGAAACUGCAGGAAGUGUUUCCUAUACAUAGUGGGAGGACUUUCUUUGUCGCAACCAACUCAUGCUAGUUCUGAAGGCAAGAGAAUUUUACUGCACAGCAGAGGGAGCUGCUAAAAUAAUCCAAAUACUGCAUCGUAUGGGGUAAAGUAUCAAGGUGUGAGAUUUGAUGUUUGUAAUACAGCUAGAACUCUCUUGAAAUGUAGACCAUUUCAUUUUAAAUACUAUAUUGUUUUUUCGUGAUAUUUUUGAACUACAAAUAAGAUAUGUCCAGCGUGCAUAGGAAUGUGUUCAUGUUUUUUUCAAGCUAUAGUCCAGCCCCUCAACAGUCUGAGGGACCGUGAACUAGCCCUUCACUUAAAAAGUCUGAGGACCCCCAUCUUGACCACACUUUAACUACCAUAACUCAAUGCUAUGGAAUCCUGGGAGCUGAAGCUUGAUAAGGAAAAGCAGCACUCUUUGGCAAAGAAAACAAGAGCUUGUAAAACUACAACUUGAAUGGUUCCACUACAUUGACCCAUGGCAGUUAAAGUGGGGCCAAACUAUAUUAAUGGAGCAAUGGGUUAAACCCUUUUGCUGGCAGACCGCUGACUUGAAGGUUGGGUUGCUGACCUGAAGGUUGCUGGUUCGAAUCCAACAUGGGGAGAAUGCGGAUGAGCUCCCUCUAUCAGCUCCAGCUCCAUGCAGAGACAUGAGGGAAGCCUCCCAUAAAGAUAGUAAAACAUCAAAACAUCCGGGCAUCCCUUGGGCAAUGUCCUUGAAGACAGCCAAUUCUCUCACACCAAAAGCAACUUGCAGUUUCUCAAGCUGCUCCUGACACACAUACAAUUGUAUUAAUUCUACAGUAUAGAUAAACUUCUGGAGUUCUAUAUCAGUGGCUUACAUAAGGUAACUGAAUAUGAAUACUGAGGAAGCUGCUGCAGACACUUGCAACAGCUGUGGCAUGUCUGUAUUCUUGGUGGAGGAUGUAGAUAUUAGCAAGUUUAAGUUGGUGCCCAGCAAACCGAGCCUCCAUGCAUCUAGUCUUCAGUAUAUUAGGGAUCAUGAGGUUUUCUAGAGCAGAGCAGACUAUCCAGGAUCAGAAACACACAGGAGGUAUUUCUCAGGAAGAGACCAGUUCCCAAGCACAAAAGGUAGACAUCUGGAGUAAUGUGACACAAGAAGCACAACAACCAGGGAUCAUUUUGUGAGUUUGAAGGUACAAAAUUGAUUCACACUUAUCAGUGAUGAGGAACAGCAACCAAAGCACCAGUGAGUCCUCAGAGAACAAACAUGCAAGUAAACUUGAGGGGUUCAGCACACAGAAUAGCCCCUACCAAUCCUCAGAGGAGACACAAAGUGGAAACGCUGUCAUACUGAAAAUGGACUAAACUUAUUUUCUGUUGUUUGAGUAUUCAGGACAUGGAACAAUGGGCUCAAACUACAGGAAAACAGAUUCCACAUAACUUUGUUAUGCUUGUUUGCUGCUGCCCUGGAGACUAGGACGCGGAACAAUGGCUUCAAACUACAGGAAAGGAGAUUACACCUGAACAUUACGAAGAACUUCCUCACAGUGAGAACUGUUUGGCAGUGGAACUCUCUGCCCCAGAAUGUGGUGGAGGCUCCCUCUUUGGAGGCUUUUAAGCAGAGGCUGGAUGGUCAUCUGUCGGGGGUGCUUUGAAUGAGAUUUUCCUGCUUCUUGCAGGGGGUUGAACUGGAUGGCCCAGGAGGUCUCUUCCAACUCUACAAUUCUAUAUUCCAUAGCCAUUUCCUUGCUUUUCAGCCAAAAAUGAAUAAACAAAUGACUAUGUA
Anolis carolinensis (green anole) is the source of this 3194-nucleotide long non-coding RNA. RefSeq lists it as uncharacterized. Lineage: Eukaryota; Metazoa; Chordata; Lepidosauria; Squamata; Anolidae. The record is from RefSeq and is a predicted model, not a curated record. The transcript is spliced from 3 exons.